RNAcentral lists this ribosomal RNA (22 nucleotides) under Quadrispora sp. H0969. RNAcentral's name for it is "partial 28S ribosomal RNA". RNAcentral also lists the same sequence under 2 other names. Lineage: Eukaryota; Fungi; Basidiomycota; Agaricomycetes; Agaricales; Cortinariaceae. The record is from RNAcentral.
CAGGUAGGACUACCCGCUGAAC